This 253-nucleotide ribosomal RNA is filed under the name uncultured bacterium. RNAcentral describes it as "partial 16S ribosomal RNA". It matches the Rfam family "Bacterial small subunit ribosomal RNA", at positions 524 to 776 of the family's 1533-position model. The record is from RNAcentral.
UACGAAGGGGGCUAGCGUUGCUCGGAAUCACUGGGCGUAAAGCGCACGUAGGCGGCUUUCUAAGUCAGGGGUGAAAUCCUGGAGCUCAACUCCAGAACUGCCUUUGAUACUGGAGAGCUUGAGUCCGGAAGAGGUGAGUGGAACUCCGAGUGUAGAGGUGAAAUUCGUAGAUAUUCGGAAGAACACCGGUGGCGAAGGCGGCCACCUGGACGGAUACUGACGCUGAGACGCGAAAGCGUGGGUAGCAAACAGG